AGAGUUUGAUCCUGGCUCAGGAUGAACGCUAGCGGCAGGCUUAAUACAUGCAAGUCGAGGGGCAGCACGGGUAGCAAUACCUGGUGGCGACCGGCGCACGGGUGCGUAACGCGUAUGCAACCUACCUUUAACCGGAGGAUAGCCCCGAGAAAUCGGGAUUAAUACUCCAUAACAUUGCGAGAAGACAUCUUCUUGCAAUUAAAGCUCCGGCGGUUAUAGAUGGGCAUGCGUGACAUUAGCUAGUUGGUGAGGUGACGGCUCACCAAGGCUUCGAUGUCUAGGGGUUCUGAGAGGAUUAUCCCCCACACUGGUACUGAGACACGGACCAGACUCCUACGAGAGGCAGCAGUAAGGAAUAUUGGGCAAUGGACGCAAGUCUGACCCAGCCAUGCCGCGUGAAGGAUGACGGCCCUAUGGGUUGUAAACUUCUUUUGUACGGGAAAAAACCCCUGAUCGUGUAUCGGGGCUGAUGGUACCGUAAGAAUAAGCAUCGGCUAACUCCGUGCCAGCAGCCGCGGUAAUACGGAGGAUGCAAGCGUUAUCCGGAUUCAUUGGGUUUAAAGGGUGCGUAGGCGGGAUAAUAAGUCAGUGGUGAAAUCCUACAGCUUAACUGUAGAACUGCCAUUGAUACUGUUAACCUUGAGUACAUUUGAAGUGGGCGGAAUGUGUCAUGUAGCGGUGAAAUGCUUAGAUAUGACACAGAGCACCGAUUGCGAAGGCAGCUCACUAAACUGUAACUGACGCUGAGGCACGAAAGCGUGGGGAUCAAACAGGAUUAGAUACCCUGGUAGUCCACGCCGUAAACUAUGAUCACUCGAUGUGUGCGAU
Molecule: ribosomal RNA, 828 nt
Filed under: uncultured bacterium
Lineage: Bacteria
Description: bacterial SSU rRNA
Rfam family: Bacterial small subunit ribosomal RNA
Source: RNAcentral